This is a non-coding RNA of Oryza glumipatula, 208 nucleotides long. The record is from Rfam. Lineage: Eukaryota; Viridiplantae; Streptophyta; Magnoliopsida; Poales; Poaceae.
UUUAAGUACAGCCAUGAGUUUCCAUGCGCAACUUUGAUUGCCCGUCUUAUUUGAUUUUUUUUUUACAAUUAGUAUUUUUAUUGUUAUGAGAUGAUAAAACAUUAAUAGUACUUUAUGCAUGACUUAUGUUUUUAGUUUUUUUUUCAAAAAUUUUUCAAAUUAGACGGACGAUCAAAGUUGGACACUGAAAAUUAUGGUUGCACUUAGA